GUGCCAGCAGCCGCGGUAAUACGUAGGUGGCAAGCGUUGUCCGGAUUUAUUGGGUUUAAAGGGUGCGUAGGCGGCCUAUUAAGUCAGUUCUGAAAUAUCCCGGCUUAACCGGGAGGGUGGGAUUGAUACUGAUGGGCUUGAGUGGAGUCGAGGUAGGCGGAAUUGACGGUGUAGCGGUGAAAUGCUUAGAUAUCGUCAAGAACACCGAUAGUGUAGACAGCUUACUAGACUUCAACUGACGCUGAGGCACGAAAGUGUGGGGAUCAAACAGGAUUAGAAACCCUUGUAGUCC
Molecule: ribosomal RNA, 292 nt
Filed under: uncultured bacterium
Lineage: Bacteria
Description: partial 16S ribosomal RNA
Rfam family: Bacterial small subunit ribosomal RNA
Source: RNAcentral